UAGGGAAUCUUCGGCAAUGGGGGGAACCCUGACCGAGCAACGCCGCGUGAGUGAAGAAGGUUUUCGGAUCGUAAAGCUCUGUUGUUAAGGAAGAACGAGUGUGAGAAUGGAAAGUUCAUGCUGUGACGGUACUUAACCAGAAAGGGACGGCUAACUACGUGCCAGCAGCCGCGGUAAUACGUAGGUCCCGAGCGUUGUCCGGAUUUAUUGGGCGUAAAGCGAGCGCAGGCGGUCAAUUAAGUCUGAUGUGAAAGCCCCCGGCUCAACCGGGGAGGGUCAUUGGAAACUGGUUGACUUGAGUGCAGAAGAGGAGAGUGGAAUUCCUAGUGUAGUGGUGAAAUACGUAGAUAUUAGGAGGAAUACCAGUAGCGAAGGCGACUUUCUGGACACAAACUGACGCUGAGGUACGAAAGCGUGGGGAGCAAACAGG
Molecule: ribosomal RNA, 430 nt
Filed under: Bacteroidota bacterium
Lineage: Bacteria; Pseudomonadati; Bacteroidota
Description: Bacteroidetes bacterium partial 16S ribosomal RNA
Rfam family: Bacterial small subunit ribosomal RNA
Source: RNAcentral